This 238-nucleotide ribosomal RNA is filed under the name uncultured bacterium. RNAcentral's name for it is "partial 16S ribosomal RNA". It matches the Rfam family "Bacterial small subunit ribosomal RNA", at positions 96 to 334 of the family's 1533-position model. The record is from RNAcentral.
UGGCGGACGGGUGAGUAACGCGUGGGUAACCUUCCUUGUACUGGGGGACAACAGUUAGAAAUGACUGCUAAUACCGCAUAAGCGCACAGUAUCGCAUGAUACAGUGUGAAAAACUCCGGUGGUACAAGAUGGACCCGCGUCUGAUUAGCUAGUUGGUAAGGUAACGGCUUACCAAGGCGACGAUCAGUAGCCGACCUGAGAGGGUGACCGGCCACAUUGGGACUGAGACACGGCCCAA